AUGCACGUUGAUCUAAUUAUCUGUGCACUCCAGGUUUUCCUACCUACGAAUAGUUUAAACACCCACUGGUUCCUUGUGGUCGUAAACCCCAGAAGGAAGGAGAUUCAGGUUCUUGAUUCACUUUUCCACUGUAUGAUACCCAGAGAAGUAAAUAAUGUGGUGAGAAUUUCAACAUAUUUAAUUAUAAGAAAGGAUUUAACAUCGUAUGUAAGUAUUAAUCGUAGGCAACUUCUCAUCCCAUUGGGCAUGCAAGUACGUGGGAUGGAAGCACAUCUAAGAGCAGCGAUGCGAGUCAAUGGGAUUGAAAGCAAUGCAUGGGAACACAUUAACGUGAUGCAAUGGCCAGUAUGGAAUAUUAAUGUGCCAAAAUUCGAUGAGACGUCAGUCAACAAUAUUAGAUUUUGUUUUUGUUUUAGAUUCUUAAUAUCUGAAAUGCUGAUCUAA
RNAcentral lists this ribosomal RNA (444 nucleotides) under Triticum aestivum (bread wheat). Its description in RNAcentral is "partial small subunit ribosomal RNA". The record is from RNAcentral. Lineage: Eukaryota; Viridiplantae; Streptophyta; Magnoliopsida; Poales; Poaceae.